RNAcentral lists this unclassified non-coding RNA (372 nucleotides) under soil metagenome. Its description in RNAcentral is "partial contains 5.8S ribosomal RNA, internal transcribed spacer 2, and large subunit ribosomal RNA". The stretch from base 1 to 120 matches the Rfam family "5.8S ribosomal RNA", at positions 35 to 154 of the family's 154-position model. The record is from RNAcentral.
GAUGAAGAACGUAGCGAAAUGCGAUACGUAAUGUGAAUUGCAGAAUUCAGUGAAUCAUCGAGUCUUUGAACGCACAUUGCGCCCCCUGGUAUUCCGAAGGGCAUGCCUGUUCGAGCGUCAUUAUCACCCCUCAAGCCCUCGGCUUGGUGUUGGAAGGUUUGGUGGAGGCCCCCUCGGGGGCUCCUGCCCCUCCCAAAGACAAUGACGGCGGCCUCGUUGGACCCCCGGUACACUGAGUUCUUCACGGGACACGUAUCGGACACAUGGGUUUACGGGACACGGUCUGCCUCCCCUCAGGGAGAAUCUUUCUAAGGUUGACCUCGGAUCAGGUAGGGAUACCCGCUGAACUUAAGCAUAUCAAUAAGCGGAGGA